Molecule: transfer RNA, 62 nt
Filed under: Paragavialidium hainanense
Lineage: Eukaryota; Metazoa; Arthropoda; Insecta; Orthoptera; Tetrigidae
Also listed under: 1 other name
Description: tRNA-Ala
Rfam family: tRNA
About the family: Transfer RNA (tRNA) molecules are approximately 80 nucleotides in length. Their secondary structure includes four short double-helical elements and three loops (D, anti-codon, and T loops). Further hydrogen bonds mediate the characteristic L-shaped molecular structure. tRNAs have two regions of fundamental functional importance: the anti-codon, which is responsible for specific mRNA codon recognition, and the 3' end, to which the tRNAs corresponding amino acid is attached (by aminoacyl-tRNA synthetases). tRNAs cope with the degeneracy of the genetic code in two manners: having more than one tRNA (with a specific anti-codon) for a particular amino acid; and 'wobble' base-pairing, i.e. permitting non-standard base-pairing at the 3rd anti-codon position.
Source: RNAcentral
AGGGUGAUAGUUAAAUAUAACAUUUGACUUGCAAUCAAAAAGUACUGAUAAAGUUUACCUUU